GACGAACGCUGGCGGCGUGCUUAACACAUGCAAGUCGAACGGUGAAGGGAUCAGCUUGCUGGUUCUGGAUGAGUGGCGAACGGGUGAGUAACACGUGAGUAACCUGCCCCCUUCUUCUGGAUAACCGCAUGAAAGUGUGGCUAAUACGGGAUAUUCUGGGUCUGUCGCAUGAUGGGUCUGGGAAAGAUAUUGUUUCGGGGGGGGACGGGCUCGCGGCCUAUCGGCUUGGUGGUGGGGUGAUGGGCUACCAAGGCGGGGACGGGUAGCCGGCCUGGGAGGGGGGACGGUCACACUGGGACUGAGACUCGGCCCAGGCUACUACGGGAGGCAGCAGUGGGGGAUAUUGCACGGUGGACGGCAGCCUGAUGGAGCGACGCCGCGUGAGGGAUGGCGGCCUUCGGGUUGUAAACCUCUUUCGCCAGUGAAGCAGGCCUGCUCCUUGUGGGUGGGUUGACGGUAGCUGGAUAAGAAGCGCCGGCUAACUACGUG
RNAcentral lists this ribosomal RNA (489 nucleotides) under uncultured bacterium. RNAcentral's name for it is "partial 16S ribosomal RNA". It matches the Rfam family "Bacterial small subunit ribosomal RNA", at positions 28 to 507 of the family's 1533-position model. The record is from RNAcentral.